GAAAGGAAGCUUCUUCUCCAAAAUUUAAAAUUUUUGAAAAUUAUUCCUUCUGAAAAUAUCAUCGCGUUCUUGACCUCGAAGCUGACUGCUGAAUGCGAUUAGGAAAGAAGAUUCCUGAAGAUACACCAGACUGAUUCUGGCAAGCCGUCUGUCGUCUAGACAUGCGGUUGUUCGUCAUGCAUGGUCAGCAAUCUUCCUCGUUCGUCCUUUCGUUUUCCUGACCACGAUGAUGACAAGCAGCUCUCAUGCUCAGGAUUCUGAAAGCUGGAGCAGCUCUGCUUACCUCGACCACUGAACUUACAACUAACUUCCAACCAAGUACAAGGCAAUAUUAUGAUGAAUCAAGCACGCUUGCCAUCAUGUCAUCAUUGCAAAGUACAUCGACAACAUAGAUUUGGUGCCGACUAUGUAUGAUGUAGAGUGUGCUCUAUGUAUCUAUACUACUGAUUGGCCUACAUUGUACUUAUGUGGGCUGAGAGUAAUCGAUUGUGCUAUAUGGCAGUUUACUUGUAUGUCAUAGAUGUUAACAUUGCACACAGCUUCUGAAAUGCUUUCUGUUGCACUGGCCUACUGCGGCCCACUGCAAAUAGAUUGUAGUGGCAUGGGCCAUGCCAUAAUUAUAGUAGUAUACCGGUACUACACCAACAAUUUCACUGGUGCACUGUACUUACUGGUACGAGUAGAUCUACAUCAUGCACAGCCUUGUCACUGCUUUUCUCAUUUUUUAUUAAUUUACUGUACUGUACACAUUUUGACACAGCUCUUCCACAAAGAGUUACUAGUAUUUUCUUCUGCAUACCUACUGUAUACAGUGACCUGACUGGUAACAUCUAUGGCUGUUUUCUGGGUUGACAGCCUCGAACCUAUACGAUUUGUUUCUAAGAACGUGCUAUAAGAAAUUUUCUAUUGAAGUAUUCUACUGUAGCUCGCAGGACAUGGAGUGCAAUUACGUAAAGUUUGGAACACCA
Molecule: long non-coding RNA, 968 nt
Organism: Sycon ciliatum
Lineage: Eukaryota; Metazoa; Porifera; Calcarea; Leucosolenida; Sycettidae
Exons: 2
Source: RefSeq, a predicted model, not a curated record